This 1320-nucleotide ribosomal RNA is filed under the name Triticum aestivum (bread wheat). RNAcentral describes it as "partial small subunit ribosomal RNA". The record is from RNAcentral. Lineage: Eukaryota; Viridiplantae; Streptophyta; Magnoliopsida; Poales; Poaceae.
AUGGCCGGUUGUGGGGCUGCGCCGCCGCCAUCGAAGAGAAUCGCCUCGGCCGCUCCAGCAGGGCGGGGCGGGGAGGAGCCGCCUCCGGCGGCGGGGGCCGGGCGUGGAGCCCUCGUGCCGCCAGGCCAAAGGCAGCCGGCUGGCGGGGGGGUUCCACUGGGACAGGGCCGCGGUAACGCUACUUCGGGCGGGAGGCCGCCGGCGCCCGUUGCUCAGCCGGUAGCAGGUCGAGGUGGGACUAGACCUCCAGCGUCGGGGGCGUCCCUGCAACCAGCGGCAGGAAAGGGCGGGCUCAGGCCUCCGGCGCCCGUCGCUCCGCAGGCUGCGGGUAGAGGCGGGCCUAGGCCCCCAACGCUGGGCGCGGCUGGUGCAGCCGGUACUGGCAGAGGUCAUUCUCAUGGCGCGCCUCCGCCUAACUUCGUCGCGCGGCCGGCUCAAAACCGGUCGGGACCAUCUCAGACGAGGCAGAUUUCUAGUUCUAAAGACUCCCGUGCUCCGCCCCGAGGCCAAUGGGGGGACGAUGGGUUAGAUGUGUAUGGCGAUGGACAGCACCGGGGUUCCUCAUCCACGGGAGGGGGGCGUGGUUAUGCCUGGCAGAGUGACGGGUCUGCUGAGAGUCCAUUUCUCGGGCCUCCAGGAGGUUUUGUUGAGGGUGCUUCCGGUCCGGAUCACCGCCAGAGAGGGGGUCACCGUGGACAUCGUGGUGGUCGGGGCGGUGGCCGCGGGAGGUAUCAUCGCAGACCGCCUCCGCCUUCGGCAGUUGUUGACCAAGCGGAGUCAGUUGUGGAGACCGUUUGCGCUUCCACGGAGCUCCCUCCCCAGGCGAUGGAGGUGGUAGCGGCUUUAGCCAAUGUUGAGGUUCCGGCGACUGGGAGUGUGACUGAGGUUACCGACAGGUCUGAUGCUGAGAGGGCGUCCAAGUGGGCGCGUAAGAAGGAAAGGAUGCUUUGCUACCGUUGUGGUGAGAAGGGCCACUUCAUUGCUGAAUGCGUGGCAAAGUUGUGUGAGACCUGUGGUAAGCCGGCACAUGCCUCGGGGGAUUGCCCGUUGUUGCGUGACCAGGCUCCGUCUUUGACAAUGUAUGGAGUUUAUUGUGCUGAGCUAAUGUUCUUUGAGUCCCCGGCCGCGAGAGAGAUUCCGGAGGAGACUUUGAGCUUGACCACCGGGGUUGUCAAAGCUACUCAGGGUGAGGUUUCGAAGGCUCAGAUUGUGCAGAGGCUUCAGGAACUGGCACCGGGGGACUUCCAUUGGGAGCUCGUUCCUCUCGAGGCCAAGGUUUUUAAGGUGGAGUUUCCUUCAGUGGACGACAGAGACUGUUGA